Molecule: long non-coding RNA, 1248 nt
Filed under: Oryctolagus cuniculus (rabbit)
Lineage: Eukaryota; Metazoa; Chordata; Mammalia; Lagomorpha; Leporidae
Description: lncRNA (ENSOCUG00000038126.1)
Source: RNAcentral
AUGUCAGCCACCAUCUGCGACGGGACGGGGUCAGGCGCCUGCGCCUCAGCCUCCUGCCGGCCCCUCCCACAGCCCCGAGGCGGCGACUUGCCUUGGCUUCCGGGAGCCCUCCAUCCUCGCCCUCUGGCUGCCAUCCCGCUAGGGAAACCUGCUCUGUGCCCCGGGCAGGGGAGCCGCUGGCUCCUCCGAGCACCUGCCUGGUCACAGUGGCACCCCGGCUGCAGGGGGCUGGGGCAGCUCCGGAAAUGCCAGCAGCCACUUCACGGACCACCCCUCCUCUCAGCUCCUAGGACCCUCUCUCCACAGCGGGCACCUGCUGGCCACCACCGGCCAAUGCAAAAAGCAGGUGGGCUGUGUGAGGGCCCACCCGCUGGCGGGAAGGCGUGCUCUAGUUCCCGGGGCCGGGCUGGCGAGCCCUCCCCGCUCUCCUCGGGUGAUCUCACUCCCUUCCAGGCUUCUCCCGCCAGCCAAGUGGCGAGGACACCUCCCAAACACCCUCUCCAGCCAAAAUCCACCUCAGUGGAGCUGCUGGGUGGUGCCCCCGAGAUGUCCCGGGCACCGCGGGCACCGCGCGCUCCCCCAGCUCCUCCCCGCCCCUGCUGGCUACUGGGAACACCCCGAGAGACGGCCUCACCUCCUCCCCGGCCCUCAGCCUCCACAGCCAGCUCACGGCUCCUCCUGAUACCUCUGCGGCCACCGGAAGGCCCGCCCAGUGGUGUCAGGCCCCACUACUCCUCUCUUCUCACUGCAGCCGAGGGAGCCGAUGACCUCCUCCCCUUGGGCCACACUUCCUGACAUGGCUUCCAGGCACUGGGGAACCCCUCGUCGCCUCCCAGCACCCCCCCCCCCCCCGCAGCCCCACGUCACUGCCACUGGGCUGAGUUUCUUCCACCAGUCACAGGGACUCCUGGGCCUCCUAAAAAUGCCCUACCUCAGGGCCUUUGCACACGCUGCCCCCCGGCCUGAGGCACACCCCCCCUCCCUCGGGCCAAAGGCUUCCUGGGCGGGUUUCAGCUCCUGGCCGCCGUGGCCCUGCUCUCCGCCCCCCUGGGCUGCUGUCACUUACUCGAGGGUCGUUUGCCCCCUUCCCAGCGUCAGGCCUGUUUCCUGGCGGCUGCGGGCAUGGUUAAUAGCACCUGCUAAUAACCGGCGGGGGGGGGGGGGGGGGUCCCAAGGGAAAUUCCCGAAGUUGGGGGGGGUGAAGGUUUCCCCCGGGGCCCCCCUGGGUUCUGGCAACUCAGGGGCGGG